This is a long non-coding RNA of Malus domestica (apple), 437 nucleotides long. RefSeq lists it as uncharacterized. NCBI's taxonomy places the organism in Eukaryota, Viridiplantae, Streptophyta, Magnoliopsida, Rosales, Rosaceae. The record is from RefSeq and is a predicted model, not a curated record.
AAUUUCAAAUUUUUUUUGUGUUUUUUAUUUGUUUUCAAUGUUAAUUUCUGAUUAAAUUAUUAUUUUUGAUAAACCUAUUUAGAAUCUAAUUUGGGUUUUGCCUGGAUUCCAGAGUAAAAACCUUGAAACUUAAAGAAAUGCUAUUCUUGCUGAAGACCUGCCAUAUAUUUGUGUCCCAAGCGACAUACAGAAUAAUUUACAAUGUCUUCAGCUUCUAUUGAUCUGGCCCAGUUUACAGCUCAGGGGAAAGAAAACUUGGAAUCAGACAUAACAUGUAUGAUGAAUAAGAAACUCAUACACAGAAUGACCCCACCAAGAUUUCAGCUACCUGGCAAUCAACGACUAAUAUCUCUUCUAAGAAGGCAAGAUCAACAUAUGGCAUGUCAGAGCAGUAUAUUUUUCACAAACAGAUGGUAAAAUUGUACACAUCACAUUAG